AUUGAACGCUGGCGGCAGGCCUAACACAUGCAAGUCGAGCGGAUGAAGGGAGCUUGCUCCUGGAUUCAGCGGCGGACGGGUGAGUAAUGCCUAGGAAUCUGCCUGGUAGUGGGGGAUAACGUCCGGAAACGGGCGCUAAUACCGCAUACGUCCUGAGGGAGAAAGUGGGGGAUCUUCGGACCUCACGCUAUCAGAUGAGCCUAGGUCGGAUUAGCUAGUUGGUGGGGUAAAGGCCUACCAAGGCGACGAUCCGUAACUGGUCUGAGAGGAUGAUCAGUCACACUGGAACUGAGACACGGUCCAGACUCCUACGGGAGGCAGCAGUGGGGAAUAUUGGACAAUGGGCGAAAGCCUGAUCCAGCCAUGCCGCGUGUGUGAAGAAGGUCCUCGGAUUGUAAGGCACUUUAAGUUGGGAGGAAGGGCAGUAAGUUAAUACCUUGCUGUUUUGACGUUACCAACAGAAUAAGCACCGGCUAACUUCGUG
Molecule: ribosomal RNA, 484 nt
Filed under: uncultured bacterium
Lineage: Bacteria
Description: partial 16S ribosomal RNA
Rfam family: Bacterial small subunit ribosomal RNA
Source: RNAcentral